RNAcentral lists this ribosomal RNA (1160 nucleotides) under Rhizobium sp. Its description in RNAcentral is "bacterial SSU rRNA". It matches the Rfam family "Bacterial small subunit ribosomal RNA", at positions 33 to 1245 of the family's 1533-position model. Lineage: Bacteria; Pseudomonadati; Pseudomonadota; Alphaproteobacteria; Hyphomicrobiales; Rhizobiaceae. RNAcentral also lists the same sequence under 1 other name. The record is from RNAcentral.
ACCCGGGAGGCGGCUAGGCUACCAUGCAAGUCGUAACAAGAAUCAGUUGGGAUUGGCAGACGGGUGUAGUAACGCGUGGGAACAUACCCUUUCCUGCGGAAUAGCUCCGGGAAACUGGAAUUAAUACCGCAUACGCCCUACGGGGGAAAGAUUUAUCGGGGAAGGAUUGGCCCGCGUUGGAUUAGCUAGUUGGUGGGGUAAAGGCCUACCAAGGCGACGAUCCAUAGCUGGUCUGAGAGGAUGAUCAGCCACAUUGGAGACUGAGACACGGCCCAAACUCCUACGGGAGGCAGCAGUGGGGAAUAUUGGACAAUGGGCGCAAGCCUGAUCCAGCCAUGCCGCGUGAGUGAUGAAGGCCUUAGGGUUGUAAAGCUCUUUCACCGAUGAAUAUAAUGACGGUAGUCAGAGAAGAAGCCCCGGCUAACUUCGUGCCAGCAGCCGCGGUAAUACGAAGGGGGCUAGCGUUGUUCGGAAUUACUGGGCGUAAAGCGCACGUAGGCGGAUAUUUAAGUCAGGGGUGAAAUCCCGCAGCUCAACUGCGGAACUGCCUUUGAUACUGGGUAUCUUGAGUAUGGAAGAGGUAAGUGGAAUUCCGAGUGUAGAGGUGAGAUUCGUAGAUAUUCGGAGGAACACCAGUGGCGAAAGCGGCUUACUGGUCCAUUACUGACGCUGAGGUGCGAAAGCGUGGGGAGCAAACAGGAUUACAUACGCUGGUAGUCCACGCCGUAAACGAUGAAUGUUAGCCGUCCGGCAGUAUACUGUUCGGUGGCGCAGCUAACGCAUUAAACAUUCCGCCUGGGGAGUACGGUCGCAAGAUUAAUACUCCAAGGAAUUGACGGGGGUCCGCACAAGCGGUGGAGCAUGUGGGUUUAAUUCUAAGCAACGCGCAGAACCUUACCAGCUCUUGACAUUCGGGGUAUGGGCAUUGGAGACGAUGUCCUUCAAUUAAGCUGGCCCCACAACAGGUGGUGCAUGGCUGUCCUCAACUCCUGACGAGAGAUGUUGGCUUAAUCGCGCAAAGAACGCAACCCUCCCCCUUGUUGCCAGCUUUUAUUUGGGACUCUAAGGGAACUCCCGUGAUAACCCAACAGAAGGUGGGAUACGUCAAGCCUCUGGCCCUAAGGGCUGGGCUACAACAUGCUAAAAGGUGGGGAAAUGGG